ACGGGGUGCAGCAGGCGCGAAACCUUUACAAUGCACGAAAGUGUGAUAAGGGAACCCAGAGUGCUUAGCUUAGCUAGGCUUUUGCCAAGAGUAAAUAUCUUGGAGAAUAAGUGGUGGGCAAGACUGGUGCCAGCCGCCGCGGUAAUACCAGCACCACGAGUGGGUACUACAAUUAUUGGGCCUAAAGCGUCCGUAGCCUGUUUGAUAAAUUUCUUGUGAAAUUGUUAAGCUCRACUUAACACCGUGCAGGAAAGACUGUCAAACUUGGGACUGGGAGGAGUUAGAAGUAUUUUUGGGGUAGCGGUAAAAUGUUAUAAUCCCAAAGAGACUACCUAUGGCGAAAGCAUCUAACCAGAACAGGUCCGACGGUGAGGAACGAAAGCUAGGGGAGCAAAACGGAUUAGAUACCCGAGUAGUCCUAGCCAUAAACGCUGCGAGCAAGAUGUUGCAUAUUCUUCGGGAAUAUGCAGUAUCGAAGAGAAGUCGUUAAGCUCGCCGCCUGGGAAGUAUGGUCGCAAGACUGAAACUUAAAGGAAUUGGCGGGGGAGCAC
RNAcentral lists this ribosomal RNA (551 nucleotides) under uncultured archaeon. RNAcentral's name for it is "bacterial SSU rRNA". It matches the Rfam family "Archaeal small subunit ribosomal RNA", at positions 325 to 879 of the family's 1478-position model. The record is from RNAcentral.